UUUAGCAUGUUUACUUUUCUUGAGAUAACAACUAAUUGCUUCUCUUUAGACUACAAGCUAGCAAUUUUCAUGAUAUGCAAGUUGCAAGCUAGCAAAUUUUUGCUUCCUUUCCAAUGUUUGAGCUAGCAAUUUUGCUUCCAUAACAAGUUAGCAUGUUUUGUAUUUUGAGAUAGGCAAGAUAGCACAUUUGCUUUUUUUU
Molecule: long non-coding RNA, 199 nt
Filed under: Musa acuminata (dwarf banana)
Lineage: Eukaryota; Viridiplantae; Streptophyta; Magnoliopsida; Zingiberales; Musaceae
Description: long non-coding RNA (MACU_LNC010379)
Source: RNAcentral